GUUACCGUUUUCCAUGAUCAUAAUUUCCGGAUUUGCGUAUUUGUCCUUAAUGUACUUCAACAGACUUCUAAAACCUCUCGAGUAAACGUUCAAUGCAGCGGUCAAAGGCU
Molecule: small RNA, 110 nt
Filed under: Arabidopsis thaliana (thale cress)
Lineage: Eukaryota; Viridiplantae; Streptophyta; Magnoliopsida; Brassicales; Brassicaceae
Description: ATSL134740
Source: RNAcentral